GGGUUGUGAGGUUAAGCGACUAAGCGUACACGGUGGAUGCCCUGGCAGUCAGAGGCGAUGAAGGACGUGCUAAUCUGCGAUAAGCGUCGGUAAGGUGAUAUGAACCGUUAUAACCGGCGAUUUCCGAAUGGGGAAACCCAGUGUGAUUCGUCACACUAUCAUUAACUGAAUCCAUAGGUUAAUGAGGCGAACCGGGGGAACUGAAACAUCUAAGUACCCCGAGGAAAAGAAAUCAACCGAGAUUCCCCCAGUAGCGGCGAGCGAACGGGGAGGAGCCCAGAGCCUGAAUCAGUGUGUGUGUUAGUGGAAGCGUCUGGAAAGGCGCGCGAUACAGGGUGACAGCCCCGUACACAAAAAUGCACAUGCUGUGAGCUCGAUGAGUAGGGCGGGACACGUGGUAUCCUGUCUGAAUAUGGGGGGACCAUCCUCCAAGGCUAAAUACUCCUGACUGACCGAUAGUGAACCAGUACCGUGAGGGAAAGGCGAAAAGAACCCCGGCGAGGGGAGUGAAAAAGAACCUGAAACCGUGUACGUACAAGCAGUGGGAGCACGCUUAGGCGUGUGACUGCGUACCUUUUGUAUAAUGGGUCAGCGACUUAUAUUCUGUAGCAAGGUUAACCGAAUAGGGGAGCCGAAGGGAAACCGAGUCUUAACUGGGCGUUAAGUUGCAGGGUAUAGACCCGAAACCCGGUGAUCUAGCCAUGGGCAGGUUGAAGGUUGGGUAACACUAACUGGAGGACCGAACCGACUAAUGUUGAAAAAUUAGCGGAUGACUUGUGGCUGGGGGUGAAAGGCCAAUCAAACCGGGAGAUAGCUGGUUCUCCCCGAAAGCUAUUUAGGUAGCGCCUCGUGAAUUCAUCUCCGGGGGUAGAGCACUGUUUCGGCAAGGGGGUCAUCCCGACUUACCAACCCGAUGCAAACUGCGAAUACCGGAGAAUGUUAUCACGGGAGACACACGGCGGGUGCUAACGUCCGUCGUGAAGAGGGAAACAACCCAGACCGCCAGCUAAGGUCCCAAAGUCAUGGUUAAGUGGGAAACGAUGUGGGAAGGCCCAGACAGCCAGGAUGUUGGCUUAGAAGCAGCCAUCAUUUAAAGAAAGCGUAAUAGCUCACUGGUCGAGUCGGCCUGCGCGGAAGAUGUAACGGGGCUAAACCAUGCACCGAAGCUGCGGCAGCGACGCUUAUGCGUUGUUGGGUAGGGGAGCGUUCUGUAAGCCUGUGAAGGUGUACUGUGAGGUAUGCUGGAGGUAUCAGAAGUGCGAAUGCUGACAUAAGUAACGAUAAAGCGGGUGAAAAGCCCGCUCGCCGGAAGACCAAGGGUUCCUGUCCAACGUUAAUCGGGGCAGGGUGAGUCGACCCCUAAGGCGAGGCCGAAAGGCGUAGUCGAUGGGAAACAGGUUAAUAUUCCUGUACUUGGUGUUACUGCGAAGGGGGGACGGAGAAGGCUAUGUUGGCCGGGCGACGGUUGUCCCGGUUUAAGCGUGUAGGCUGGUUUUCCAGGCAAAUCCGGAAAAUCAAGGCUGAGGCGUGAUGACGAGGCACUACGGUGCUGAAGCAACAAAUGCCCUGCUUCCAGGAAAAGCCUCUAAGCAUCAGGUAACAUCAAAUCGUACCCCAAACCGACACAGGUGGUCAGGUAGAGAAUACCAAGGCGCUUGAGAGAACUCGGGUGAAGGAACUAGGCAAAAUGGUGCCGUAACUUCGGGAGAAGGCACGCUGAUAUGUAGGUGAAGCGACUUGCUCGUGGAGCUGAAAUCAGUCGAAGAUACCAGCUGGCUGCAACUGUUUAUUAAAAACACAGCACUGUGCAAACACGAAAGUGGACGUAUACGGUGUGACGCCUGCCCGGUGCCGGAAGGUUAAUUGAUGGGGUCAGCGCAAGCGAAGCUCUUGAUCGAAGCCCCGGUAAACGGCGGCCGUAACUAUAACGGUCCUAAGGUAGCGAAAUUCCUUGUCGGGUAAGUUCCGACCUGCACGAAUGGCGUAAUGAUGGCCAGGCUGUCUCCACCCGAGACUCAGUGAAAUUGAACUCGCUGUGAAGAUGCAGUGUACCCGCGGCAAGACGGAAAGACCCCGUGAACCUUUACUAUAGCUUGACACUGAACAUUGAGCCUUGAUGUGUAGGAUAGGUGGGAGGCUUUGAAGUGUGGACGCCAGUCUGCAUGGAGCCGACCUUGAAAUACCACCCUUUAAUGUUUGAUGUUCUAACGUUGACCCGUAAUCCGGGUUGCGGACAGUGUCUGGUGGGUAGUUUGACUGGGGCGGUCUCCUCCUAAAGAGUAACGGAGGAGCACGAAGGUUGGCUAAUCCUGGUCGGACAUCAGGAGGUUAGUGCAAUGGCAUAAGCCAGCUUGACUGCGAGCGUGACGGCGCGAGCAGGUGCGAAAGCAGGUCAUAGUGAUCCGGUGGUUCUGAAUGGAAGGGCCAUCGCUCAACGGAUAAAAGGUACUCCGGGGAUAACAGGCUGAUACCGCCCAAGAGUUCAUAUCGACGGCGGUGUUUGGCACCUCGAUGUCGGCUCAUCACAUCCUGGGGCUGAAGUAGGUCCCAAGGGUAUGGCUGUUCGCCAUUUAAAGUGGUACGCGAGCUGGGUUUAGAACGUCGUGAGACAGUUCGGUCCCUAUCUGCCGUGGGCGCUGGAGAACUGAGGGGGGCUGCUCCUAGUACGAGAGGACCGGAGUGGACGCAUCACUGGUGUUCGGGUUGUCAUGCCAAUGGCACUGCCCGGUAGCUAAAUGCGGAAGAGAUAAGUGCUGAAAGCAUCUAAGCACGAAACUUGCCCCGAGAUGAGUUCUCCCUGACUCCUUGAGAGUCCUGAAGGAACGUUGAAGACGACGACGUUGAUAGGCCGGGUGUGUAAGCGCAGCGAUGCGUUGAGCUAACCGGUACUAAUGAACCGUGAGGCUUAACCUUACAACGCCGAAG
RNAcentral lists this ribosomal RNA (2925 nucleotides) under Escherichia coli. RNAcentral describes it as "bacterial LSU rRNA". It matches the Rfam family "Bacterial large subunit ribosomal RNA". The record is from RNAcentral. Lineage: Bacteria; Pseudomonadati; Pseudomonadota; Gammaproteobacteria; Enterobacterales; Enterobacteriaceae.